GACGAACGCUGGCGGCGUGCCUAAUACAUGCAAGUCGAACGCAUUUUCUUUCACCGUAGCUUGCUACACCGAAAGAAACUGAGUGGCGAACGGGUGAGUAACACGUGGGUAACCUGCCCAUCAGCGGGGGAUAACACUUGGAAACAGGUGCUAAUACCGCAUAAUUCCAUUUUCCGCAUGGUAGAUGGAUGAAAGGCGCUUUUGCGUCACGGAUGGAUGGACCCGCGGUGCAUUAGCUAGUUGGUGGGGUAAGGGCCUACCAAGGCUGCGAUGCAUAGCCGACCUGAGAGGGUGAUCGGCCACACUGGGACGGAGACACGGCCCAGACGCCUACGGGAGGCAGCAGUAGGGAAUCUUCGGCAAUGGACACAAGACUGACCGAGCAACGCCGCGUGAGUGAAGAAGGAUUUCGGAUCGUAAAACUCUGUUGUUAGAGAAGAACAAGGAUGAGAGUGGAAAGUUCAUCCCUUGACGGUAUCUAACCAGAAAGCCACGGCUAACUACGUG
RNAcentral lists this ribosomal RNA (507 nucleotides) under uncultured bacterium. Its description in RNAcentral is "partial 16S ribosomal RNA". It matches the Rfam family "Bacterial small subunit ribosomal RNA", at positions 28 to 507 of the family's 1533-position model. The record is from RNAcentral.